AUGGCGGUGGCGCGGCUGGGCGGCGGCCGCGGGGGCUUCUUCGGGGCCGUCCGGCGGCUGCGGAUGCGCUGGGUGGCCGCGGCCUACCGGCGGGCGCUGCGCCGGCUGCGCGCCUUCUACGCCCGGGCGCUCGAGGACCUCCUCGAGGGCGCGGCCGCCAUUAGCAUGAUGCAAUCCAACUACGCCGGCGCCGACUGCUCCUUCGGCACCGCCUUCGCGCCCGCCGUCACCGUCGGCAACCGCUACUGA
RNAcentral lists this ribosomal RNA (249 nucleotides) under Triticum aestivum (bread wheat). RNAcentral's name for it is "partial small subunit ribosomal RNA". The record is from RNAcentral. Lineage: Eukaryota; Viridiplantae; Streptophyta; Magnoliopsida; Poales; Poaceae.